GGAGGCGUGGCCGAGUGGCUUAAGGCGGCGGUUUGCUAAAUCGUUGUACUCGGAAACGGGUACCGGAGGUUCGAAUCCUCUCGCGUCCGCCA
This 92-nucleotide transfer RNA is filed under the name Hyphomicrobium sp. Its description in RNAcentral is "tRNA-Ser". It matches the Rfam family "tRNA". From Rfam's summary of the family: Transfer RNA (tRNA) molecules are approximately 80 nucleotides in length. Their secondary structure includes four short double-helical elements and three loops (D, anti-codon, and T loops). Lineage: Bacteria; Pseudomonadati; Pseudomonadota; Alphaproteobacteria; Hyphomicrobiales; Hyphomicrobiaceae. The record is from RNAcentral.